CCACCUUUAUUGUUCUUAUUUUUGCUUCAAUCCAACAUAAAAACAAUUUUUCUUUUGGUGCAUCACUAUUAAAUGGAGUGUUGUGAUUUUUCACCCCUAUAAUGGAAAACUUUUUGCAUACUUUAAAACUAUAUUCUUAUUUAUACAAUAUUAAAUAAUUUAUUAUGCAACAUAUAUAAUAAGAAACUACUCCUUUUUCUUUCUUCUCUCUAGAUUAUUGCUCUGAAAUUUCCCAGUACUCAAAGCUAGAGUUUUCCUGUAAGGCUGCCUUUGGUAGUUUCAACUAUCAGAGGCGACUCCCUUGGUGCUUGGGUUGUAGAAUUUUUAUUUUAUUAUGUAUAUUCGGUUUUCUUUCAAGCUUUAAUCCUAUAAGAUGCCACCUUAUGUUGGUACCUAGAGAUGGAGAAGAAAGUAAGUUAGCAGAUCGAAAGAUCCAUGAGUGGUUGAGUGGGUGGAAUCCUUCCCCUAGUCCUCUGGUUCUACUGUUUAAAGGUAGGAUGAUGAGGGCUUACAGAUAUAUAAUUUUUGUUUCGACAAAGAAUGUUUCAACUUCAUUUCCGAUCAACUGAGCUUCAAAGCUAUUAAUCAAUGCUGCAAACGGUGGCUGCUAGGUCUAAAUAAGUGCAAUGUUCUUUUAUAUGGCUUGAUCUUGUGGCCCCUAACCAUAGAGAAGAUGGCAGCUGUGGCUGCCCUAGAAUUUGUCGAGGAAGAAGUGUUUUCUAAGAGGAGUCAUAUUGUAAACUCUUUCUCCUUGUAAACCAUAGGGCCGAUUAUCUUAAGAGUUUUAAGCCUAGUUGCGUGGGUUUCUCCUUGUAUUUGUAUCAUUUAUACUGUUUGGGCCUUGUGGGCCCAUUAAUACUACCCUAUUUUUCUAUUAAAAAAAGAGAUAAUAGUUUAUUACGUUUCAA
Long non-coding RNA from Ricinus communis (castor bean), 908 nucleotides. RefSeq lists it as uncharacterized. The record is from RefSeq and is a predicted model, not a curated record. The transcript is spliced from 2 exons. NCBI's taxonomy places the organism in Eukaryota, Viridiplantae, Streptophyta, Magnoliopsida, Malpighiales, Euphorbiaceae.